This 74-nucleotide transfer RNA is filed under the name Thermovenabulum gondwanense. RNAcentral describes it as "Thermovenabulum sp. R270 tRNA". It matches the Rfam family "tRNA". Rfam says of the family: Transfer RNA (tRNA) molecules are approximately 80 nucleotides in length. Lineage: Bacteria; Bacillati; Bacillota; Clostridia; Thermosediminibacterales; Thermosediminibacteraceae. The record is from Rfam by way of RNAcentral.
GGGGAAUUAGCUCAGAUGGUUAGAGCGCUACGCUCACAUCGUAGAGGUCUGGGGUUCGAAUCCCUAAUUCCCCA